RNAcentral lists this ribosomal RNA (253 nucleotides) under uncultured bacterium. Its description in RNAcentral is "partial 16S ribosomal RNA". It matches the Rfam family "Bacterial small subunit ribosomal RNA", at positions 524 to 776 of the family's 1533-position model. The record is from RNAcentral.
UACGGAGGGUGCAAGCGUUAUCCGGAUUUACUGGGUUUAAAGGGUGCGUAGGUGGGUAGGAAAGUCAGUGGUGAAAUCUUCGGGCUUAACCCGGAAACUGCCAUUGAUACUAUUUGUCUUGAAUACUGUGGAGGUCAGCGGAAUAUGUCAUGUAGCGGUGAAAUGCUUAGAUAUGACAUAGAACACCAAUUGCGAAGGCAGCUGGCUACACAAAUAUUGACACUGAGGCACGAAAGCGUGGGGAUCAAACAGG